This 3559-nucleotide unclassified non-coding RNA is filed under the name Leishmania donovani. RNAcentral describes it as "gene:LdHU3.13.1440(CDS-product:DNA/RNA_non-specif ic_endonuclease-like_protein)". The record is from RNAcentral. Lineage: Eukaryota; Euglenozoa; Kinetoplastea; Trypanosomatida; Trypanosomatidae.
AAGCACGCAGAUGGAGAGCGUACCCGCUAGCCCGGCCGCUCUGCAACCAUCGACACUCAGCUCAUCACGCGACUGCAUAGCACCAGAGGUCUCGUCGUCUUCACUGUUUUCGCUCUUUCCGCCGUGUUGCGCGCAGGCGGCGCGGCGCCUGUUGCAUGACCACGCGUACUUCGCAGCUGGGGCGCUGCGCGGCGCUCGUGCACAGCCGACGCCAGCAUCAUCGCUGUCGUCCCCCGCGCCGUCGCAGCCGCUUAAGCUGUGGCUGACAUGUGCCACCGCAGCAGUUGCGGGCACCUGCGGUGUGAUCGUCGGCGCGCACCUGAGCCCGUGGCUGAGCCGCCGCGCAGCUCGCUUGUACACUCAGCGCGAGGCCAAGUACCGCAAUCCGCUGCAGCUGCUGCCCUCUCCCGCAGCAGCCGCAUGGCCGGAGUCAUGGUGGUGGCGGAGGCUCUGGUGCAGCUCAGCGCAUCGAUCCGUGAGCGAGACGCGGCGGCUCGACUACGGACAUGCCGCGGAGUGGUUGGCUGCCUGCACAGGCCACCGCUGGCUCCCACAGCGCAUCUCACGGCCCACGCUGCUGAAGCUCUACUCCCCUGCGCGCCACUCACGGCAGAGCAGCGCCGAUCGCGACACGGCCAAAGAAGUUCAGUGGGGCACGCGUAUGGUAAACAAAGGCACGCGCCCUCUCGCGAAGCGCUCCGCCGCUGCCGCAGCAGCGUCCAGGGGCUCUACCGCCUCCCUUGCCGCCUCGGCACUCUUCUCCAUCGCACGCCUCACACGAGCACCCUUGCAUCAGUGGCAACCGCUGCCGCAGCACUUGGUAGACGUUUUCGUCUCCGCUACUUGCCAGAAUACCGAAAACCCGCGUUCUGCGACUCGGGUGGCUGCGUCGCCGCUUCUGUGUCUGCCGCGCCAGGGGUUUACCCUAUUAUACGACCCCGUCGCCCGCCUUUCUGUGUGGUGCGGGUACUAUCUCACCCGCGAAACGGUCGACCGUGCACGGCGACAGAACCGCUGCAUCACCUUCUUCACGGACCGCUCACUGGACAAGACAGCGCGACGGGUACCGGCAGAGCUAAAGGCACGCGGACACGAUCGCGGUCAUCUCGCCCCGCAUGCAUCCGUCGCCGCGAGCCCACAGGCGGCCAUCGAGGCGGCUCUGCUGUCGAAUGUGCUGCUGCAACACCGCCAGAUCAACCGAGGCGUGUGGCGCUGGCUGGAAGCGGCGACGAGGGCGUACGUGCGACAGCUGCCGCUUGCCGAUGUGCCGCACGCCGUGGCGAUUCAGCAGCAGCGCGUGAGAAAGGAAAGCUCGACUGGAGCUGUGGGUGCAGGGACUGCGUCCCUUUCAGAAGCCGCAAGCUCCACGCAGGCGGGUCCAAUGUCUGUACCUCCGCGCCACGGCGCUGGCUGUAAGGGAUGCCGUGGACGUCCGCCGAAGUCGGCGUCAUCACUUUUUGUUUCACCAGCUCGCUGCUGCUCUACCUGUGGUCAGGCAGCGAAGAGGAGCAGUCGCAGCGGCUUAAACCGAGGCUUACCGCGGGACAGUGAGCUCAUCGCCCGCCUGCUCGCCGCACCGGGCGUCGGAAGCGGGGCUGGCUCGCACUUGAGACUCCAAGGAGAUGGUGCUCGGGGAUGCGUGGCACGAACGCUUCGAUGCUGCCGGGAAUGGUGGCGGUGGUGGUGGCCGCACUGCAGCGGUGCAGCCUUUCAUCGCCAGCGUGAGCGCGAGGUCGCUGUCAAUGUAGGGCCGCUUUACUACAAACGGACGAAUGAUGUAGGGCUGGGCAGCUGGCGGGGCAGUAGCACGGCGACAGGGAGGACGCCCGCUGUCGCUGCAGCAUCAUCGGAUGCCGUCGCACUGCCUCUUUUGUGCUGCUACAGGUCGCGGCAGGUCAUGCAACGGCGGAGGCCUGGAAACGCAGCCUCGCCUCCGACAUGGUCCUCGCCGCCACCGCCGCCGCCGCAGCAGUCGCUCUUCAUCCCUGACGCCUUCUUCUUCUCGCUCUGGAACGUGCACACUCACGAGCAUGUGCACCUGAUCGUACCAAACCACCCCGACGCAGCUUCGAUACGAGCGGUCACUGCGGCCGUGGCGGCCAGGCGUUCGACAGCAGCGGGAGCAGCGGCGUCGAAGUCGUUCCCAUCGCGACGACGACGACGGCACCGCUCGACGCACCCGUCGAGAUGGUCGUCAGACGGUUUGGAGACGGCUCUACGAUCCCUCGUUGUGUCUACAGUAGAGCUGGAACAACUUUUCGCCGAGUCGUUGGUGGAGCUGCGCUCACGAUGCAUGUCGGCCGGAGUGACGGACGCGACCAGUCGCGACAGCAUGAGCAACAUCGAUCGCGCCGCUCCGUCGGUAGCGCUGCGGACGCACUUUAGCCUCUUCCCAGUCUAUCGACAGCGAUGGAUGUGGCGGCACUGCGGCAUUGGUGGUGGCGGUCGCUGAGGCGCACUCACCUUGUGGAGGACGGGACGUCGGGCGGUGCCGGCACCACUCGAAUUCGCCGCUGACUCGUGUUUCCCUCUCGCCUUGCGGGUACGGUGAGCUCCCUCGCGUUGGAGGCGAGCUCGAUCCCCUCGCUCAGCCGUCUCGCCCACUCAUCUCGCGGUUGCCUUGUCUUCUUUCUCGUCGUCUGCGGUGGACGUGAGGGUCGCCAGUGCUCUCUCGUUUCUUCGGUUGCUCCUGCUCGCUUUUCUUUUUUUUUUUGCAUAGAUGCAAGCGCCUAGAUGCACAGAUCCGCCAUCACACGAGCGCGCAUCACCCCACGCAUCUCUCUCACGCACAGAGCUGUGUGGAGAGCUGCGCUUGUGUGUGUUUGUGUGUGCGCGUGUGCGUUUUCUUGUCAAUAUCCCCCCAUUGUGUGACUUUGUGAUGUCCUCACGCGUGGGUGUUUUGGCCUCUGCGCUUCCUCCUCUCUCGCCGCUCUGUCGGCCGCGCAUGCGCGAGAGUGGUGGAGAGAGAGACAGAGAGCAGAUGUGUGGUUUCCCUCAUUCCUCGUGUGCAUGUGUGCGUGCCGCCCACACCCUACUCUCCCUCUAUCCCUCGCUCACCCCUCACCACAACUCUCAUCGACUCCCCUCCUUCCCCUGACACUACACCUCCCCUACGACUUCGCCGUGCUCCCUCGCCUACCCCCCUCUCUUGUUUGCUCGCCUUCUUUUCGUUGUUGUGCCUCUGCUUGGGGCUGUGGGGAGACUCCCCAUGUCCUGUCAUGCCCUGCUGCUGCUGCCGCCGCCGCCGCACUCCUUUCUGUGUGCCUCUGUGUAGGUACCCCUUCUGUCUUUCUCCCUCUCCUUUUGUGCGUGUCGCUAGACCGAAACAAAAAGCACGUGCGCUCUCGCUUGUUUCCCGCCCUUCAUCGGUGCCUCCUCUACCCCCUGUCUCUUUCCCGCCUUAGUCUCCAAGCUAUUACCCACUCACCGAGACCCAAUUCCCUCCCUCACGGAACGCCCUGUCGCUGCGCCCUUGCAGACGCAUCGGAGCCUCUGUUGCUGGUGCGGGUAAGCUGUCGCCGGAGCCAAUUGUGUCGAUGCUGUCGCCUGCAGAAAGGAA